RNAcentral lists this ribosomal RNA (279 nucleotides) under uncultured bacterium. RNAcentral's name for it is "partial 16S ribosomal RNA". It matches the Rfam family "Bacterial small subunit ribosomal RNA", at positions 506 to 784 of the family's 1533-position model. The record is from RNAcentral.
UGCCAGCCGCCGCGGUAAUACGGAGAGGGCAAGCGUUGUUCGGAAUCACUGGGCAUAAAGAGCACGUAGGCGGAUAGGCAAGUCGGUUGUGAAAUCCCGGGGCUUAACCCCGGAACUGCUUCCGAAACUGCCUGUCUUGAGGACGAGAGGGGAGAGUGGAACUUCUGGUGGAGCGGUGAAAUGCGUAGAUAUCAGAAGGAACACCGGUGGCGAAAGCGACUCUCUGGCUCGUUUCUGACGCUGAGGCACGAAAGCUAGGGUAGCGAACAGGAUUAGAUA